AGCGUAGACGGUUGUGCAAGUCUGGAGUGAAAGGCGGGGGCCCAACCCCCGGACUGCUCUGGAAACUGUUUAGCUAGAGUUCUGUAGAGGGGGGUAGAAUUCCAGGUGUAGCGGUGAAAUGCGUAGAGAUCUGGAGGAAUACCGAUUGCGAAGGCAGCCCCCUGGACAGUGACUGACGCUCAAAUGCGAAAGCGUGGGGAUCAAACAGGAUUAGAUACCCUUGUA
RNAcentral lists this ribosomal RNA (225 nucleotides) under uncultured Thorsellia sp. RNAcentral describes it as "partial 16S ribosomal RNA". It matches the Rfam family "Bacterial small subunit ribosomal RNA", at positions 567 to 792 of the family's 1533-position model. The record is from RNAcentral. Lineage: Bacteria; Pseudomonadati; Pseudomonadota; Gammaproteobacteria; Enterobacterales; Thorselliaceae.